GACGAACGCUGGCGGCGUGCUUAACACAUGCAAGUCGAACGGAAAGGCCCUGCUUUUGUGGGGUGCUCGAGUGGCGAACGGGUGAGUAACACGUGAGUAACCUGCCCUUGACUUUGGGAUAACUUCAGGAAACUGGGGCUAAUACCGGAUAGGAGCUCCUGCUGCAUGGUGGGGGUUGGAAAGUUUCGGCGGUUGGGGAUGGACUCGCGGCUUAUCAGCUUGUUGGUGGGGUAGUGGCUUACCAAGGCUUUGACGGGUAGCCGGCCUGAGAGGGUGACCGGCCACAUUGGGACUGAGAUACGGGCCAGACUCCUACGGGAGGCAGCAGUGGGGAAUAGUGCACAAUGCGCGGAAGCCUGAUGCAGCAACGCCGCGUGCGGGAUGACGGCCUUCGGGUUGUAAACCGCUUUCGCCUGUGACGAAGCGUGAGUGACGGUAAUGGGUAAAGAAGCACCGGCUAACUACGUG
This 468-nucleotide ribosomal RNA is filed under the name uncultured bacterium. Its description in RNAcentral is "partial 16S ribosomal RNA". It matches the Rfam family "Bacterial small subunit ribosomal RNA", at positions 28 to 507 of the family's 1533-position model. The record is from RNAcentral.